RNAcentral lists this ribosomal RNA (440 nucleotides) under uncultured bacterium. RNAcentral's name for it is "partial 16S ribosomal RNA". It matches the Rfam family "Bacterial small subunit ribosomal RNA", at positions 338 to 795 of the family's 1533-position model. The record is from RNAcentral.
CCUACGGGGGGCAGCAGUGGGGAAUAUUGCACAAUGGGGGAAACCCUGAUGCAGCGACGCCGCGUGAGUGAAGAAGUACUUCGUUAUGUAAAGCUCCAUCAGCAGGGAAGAAAAUGACGGUACCUGUGUAAGAAGCCCCGGCUAACUACGUGCCAGCAGCCGCGGUAAUACGUCGGGCGCAAGCGUUAUCCGGAUUUACUGGGUGUAAAGGGGGCGUAGUCGGGAGUGCAAGUCUGGAGUGAAAGGUGGGGGCUCAACCCCCGGACUGCUGUGGAAACUGUACGGCUGGAGUGCAGGAGAGGUAAGUGGAAUGCCUAGUGUAGCGGUGAAAUGCGUAGAUAUUAGGAGGAACACCAGUGGCGAAGGCGGCAUACUGGACUGUAACUGACGUUGAGGCUCGAAAGCGUGGGGAGCAAACAGGAUUAGAUACCCCAGUAGUC